This is a small nucleolar RNA of 88 nucleotides. It matches the Rfam family "A. fumigatus snoRNA Afu_300". The record is from Rfam.
UGUUAUGAUGAUCAAUUCGUAAACAAUAUACGCUGGAAAUUACCGGCUGAGAUCUUUCUUUGAAGAUAUUAAAUGGCUAUGUCUGACA